This 330-nucleotide ribosomal RNA is filed under the name Enterococcus faecalis. Its description in RNAcentral is "bacterial SSU rRNA". It matches the Rfam family "Bacterial small subunit ribosomal RNA", at positions 1 to 308 of the family's 1533-position model. Lineage: Bacteria; Bacillati; Bacillota; Bacilli; Lactobacillales; Enterococcaceae. The record is from RNAcentral.
UUAUUAUGAGAGUUUGAUCCUGGCUCAGGACGAACGCUGGCGGCGUGCCUAAUACAUGCAAGUCGAACGCUUCUUUCCUCCCGAGUGCUUGCACUCAAUUGGAAAGAGGAGUGGCGGACGGGUGAGUAACACGUGGGUAACCUACCCAUCAGAGGGGGAUAACACUUGGAAACAGGUGCUAAUACCGCAUAACAGUUUAUGCCGCAUGGCAUAAGAGUGAAAGGCGCUUUCGGGUGUCGCUGAUGGAUGGACCCGCGGUGCAUUAGCUAGUUGGUGAGGUAACGGCUCACCAAGGCCACGAUGCAUAGCCGACCUGAGAGGGUGAUCGGC